CGCACAUGAUUUGUCUAUGGCUGGCUAGUGAGCUGCUCGUGGUUGCACUUGGAGUGGGCUGCUAGUUAAACUUGAGAGGGACUAUGCUUAUGCUUCUCUUCGGCCCCUGUGUUGCAUACUCUGGUGCGUGUAGAAGGAUCUCCUUGAUUAAGAGAGUAUUAAUGAUAGGAUUUAGUUAUUAAUCCUAACUUUAAUGCCUUUGAAUUUUGUCCUUCCCAUGGGCAGGACAACUUAAUGAGGUUGUAGUCAACUGCUCAAAACUUCAGGGAUGUUGAACUGCGCGUGAAAAUCUUCAUGGGCUUUGUCAAAUUACUAAGGGCAUUCUUGUCUUCUUAGAGUAAAAGUCCACUUGUCCGCUCCAGGAAUUUUCAGAUUAUUUUUUGCUCCACAAAGAUUUUUGGUGGGGUCAUCUUUAUGCACCACCUCUUCCAACGCUUAUCGGCUUCCAUCUUUCUGGAUUUGGUAAGGUCAAAUACCAUCGUUGUAGAAUCUAGGCACAUCAUGUAUUUCUUCUUUUUACUCAUUCCCUUUGCUGUUGCUUUUUUUGUUGCCCUCGUUAGACGCACCUUUCUUUUGGUGCGCAAAUGGUCCCCCUAAGAAAUGAAUGCCAUUUCGUUAUCAUCAUCAUAUGAAGCAUCAACUUCUCCAUACCGCUCCAGUAGUGAUUUUCUUCUACAAGCUUUGCACAAAUAUUUUUUAGGAAUGUCCUAAUCAACAGUCUCUAGCACCAACUUCAAACCCUUUACUUUUUCUCCACUUCCAGAAUCACCAACUAAUUCCCUUCCCUUUAUCCUUACCAUCUUCCCCUUUCACUUUCUCACUUUCGUUCCCAUCAGUAUGUUUAGCCUCUCUUUUUUCUUUUUCUACAUCUGCCUCUUAUUCUUCCUCACUUUCUCCCUCGUUGAUUCCUUACUUGCAAUAUGACCCCUUUCUUCCUCACCUUCUUACUCACUUGCUUCCUAACUAGACUCCUCGACCGCUUUUGUCUUACCUUUCUUUCUUACUUCUUCCAUAACAGCGGAUAACUCCUCAAUCUUUCUCCACAACUCCUCGAUCCUUCUCAUGUGCCAUUCGCGCUAAAGAAAUCUUUAACUGCUUUAUCUUCAAUUUCAACUCACCAACAUCAUUCAUGUUGGGGGUUAGGUUGUCAUGUGUAAGAAUAUCCUUGUCAUCUCCCCACAUCCAGUAGCUUGCUUCUUCUCUACAUCAAUUGUAAAAAUGUGUAGAAUGCAUACAAGCUUUCAAUUAACAUAACAGUCAUCAAACUAUACUCAUAAUCAUACUUAAACAUUAACACACAGUAGUCCACAGUCAUAUAGACAUUCAUAGGCAGUCAUACAUAUUCAUAAACAUUCAUAUCAUUCAUAAAUAGUCAUAUACAGUCACAGACAGUCAUACUUGUCUACCCUCGGUAAUCUACAUCUUGAGUAGCUCAAAAGUGGGCUGCUUCUUGAUUGUUUUCCACCGAAAAAUUCGCGGGGUCGCUUUUGGAUAAGUCAUCUUACAAUAAUGUAAAGACUUAUCUAAUUGUGGAUUUUUUUCGUAUGCCCACACCUGCACAUAUACUAAAUAGGUACUCAACAACAAUAAUAAAUAACCAAUUAACUACUAACCCAACAAAUAUUACCUGAAAAGUAUACGUAAAUCCUUUGCAGCCCUAUCGGGAUCUUUGACCCCUCUAGGUCAGCACAAGUCAUUGAAAUCAUCUUGCCCCCCUUCUUUGAGGUCUUCUUCACUUUAGUAUUGCCCUUCUCGUUCUUACUGUUUUUGGUCUCUCCUUCAUACCAAACUUCUAAGGAAAAUACUUCUCCAGUAAACUAAUCUCAAAAGGGUCAACCUCUAUCUUGUAGGGUUCGUCGCACCCCAGCCUAUUGAUGAGGCAAAAGUCCUUCUUGGUGAACUGCGUAACUUCAUAGCCAAUUAAAUAGCUAAGUCCCUCCAAUUCUUUCACCCAUUGAUUUUUUACUCUGCGGAGUGACAAUUCAAGGAGCAACUUACCACUGUAAGGUAUUCUAUCAACCUUUUCAAACUACCUGUAGUAAGAAGCUCUAAAUGCAGCCUUCUGGGCAUCAUUUAAACUUUGCCGUAGAAGCCCUAAAACAUGAGAAGGUUAAAAAAGGUUGUUCACCCUUUCCCUAUACACAUAACUAUACAAGCAUUCAUAAAUUUUAGCAAUUUCUCGUCAACACAAAUGAACCAAAGUCAAUUAUAUGACUCCAACUCAACCCAAUUGAACAACAUAUGACCUAAACACAACACUUCAACAAGUUUUCAUAACCAUACAUCAACCGUGAACAAAGCUUCAUGAAUUUAGAAAAAUUAAGUUCAUUCAUAAAGUUAAACAAACUUUCAUCGCACAACUCAUCCCCAAGUCAACAAUAUAGCUUUAACACAACUGAUAGGAGGAUAUUUAUGAGACUGAGUUAGCUUGUUCUCAUGCAUUUAUGUUGUUACUUCUUAGUUAAUUAUGUAUUUUAAGCUAUUUUCGUGUGUUUGU
RNAcentral lists this long non-coding RNA (2497 nucleotides) under Malus domestica (apple). RNAcentral describes it as "long non-coding RNA (MDOM_LNC018394)". Lineage: Eukaryota; Viridiplantae; Streptophyta; Magnoliopsida; Rosales; Rosaceae. The record is from RNAcentral.